Molecule: ribosomal RNA, 467 nt
Filed under: uncultured bacterium
Lineage: Bacteria
Description: partial 16S ribosomal RNA
Rfam family: Bacterial small subunit ribosomal RNA
Source: RNAcentral
ACGAACGCUGGCGGCGUGCUUAACCCAUGCCAGUCGAACGGAAAGGCCCUGCUUUUGUGGGGUGCUCGAGUGGCGAACGGGUGAGUAAUACGUGAGUAACCUGCCCUUGACUUUGGGAUAACUUCAGGAAACUGGGGCUAAUACCGGAUAGGAGCUCCUGCUGCAUGGUGGGGGUUGGAAAGUUUCGGCGGUUGGGGAUGGACUCGCGGCUUAUCAGCUUGUUGGUGGGGUAGUGGCUUACCAAGGCUUUGACGGGUAGCCGGCCUGAGAGGGUGACCGGCCACAUUGGGACUGAGAUACGGCCCAGACUCCUACGGGAGGCAGCAGUGGGGAAUAUUGCACAAUGGGCGGAAGCCUGAUGCAGCAACGCCGCGUGCGGGAUGACGGCCUUCGGGUUGUAAACCGCUUUCGCCUGUGACGAAGCGUGAGUGACGGUAAUGGGUAAAGAAGCACCGGCUAACUACGUG